CCUAAGCCUAUUUUCUUCCACCCACGAUAAACAAUCCAACCAGCACCGCCAGAAGCUUCGACAAUAAUUCUCAGGUAUACAUAUUUUUAUGAAGAGGAGUUUAUAUGAUAAGAAGCCAGGAUGUAAGCCGUGGUAUGGACCAGUAAGAAGGUUUCGUCAUGGGUUGGUGCAGCUGGUCCAUCCCUAAGGCCAAUAUAUUGGCGUGGAAAUAUGCUGAGGGCAGACUACCUACUAGGGUCGAGCUGGACAAAAGUGGCGUCCAAGUCGGUAAUGUGUUAUGUCCUUGAUGCGGGUAUAUGCAAGAAACAGAAUACCAAAUUUUCUUGUUUCGCGUCUAAUGACCAAAGUUUUAUGGUGGAUGAUUGGCGUUUGGCUGGGAUUUAGCGACUUAUGCAAUUGUGCAACAGUAUCGGACGUAUUACAAUUUCCCCGCAAACUUCAAGUAACCAAGACGAGAAGGAAGGUGAUAAAAACCAUUAUCAUAGCAACGUUAGAAGGAAGGUGAUAAAAACCAUUAUCAUAGCAACGUUAUCGACCAUUUGGAUGAGCAGGAACGACAAGGUCUUUUAGGGGAUGCAUAUCUCAAACUCAAAAAGGCUGGAAGAAAUCAAAGAAUCUACAUUUUUAUGGAUGAAGUUCAGAGCAAAAAUGGAUAGUCGACAUUAGUGAACUGGACUAAUUGUGUUGAAUAAAUUUCUCCCCUUUUGUUAAAGAAAAAGUUGAAUAGUUUGACUUACGUGGUGUUUGACCAUUGAUAUCUUUGACACUUGACAAUUGGGAUAAUUGGAAUCACCAGUCAACUAUCACCAAUCAACUCUAAAUUUCCAUUAGUAUCACUAAUGUCAAAU
Molecule: long non-coding RNA, 848 nt
Filed under: Helianthus annuus (common sunflower)
Lineage: Eukaryota; Viridiplantae; Streptophyta; Magnoliopsida; Asterales; Asteraceae
Source: RNAcentral